RNAcentral lists this ribosomal RNA (3712 nucleotides) under Candidatus Acetothermia bacterium. Its description in RNAcentral is "23S ribosomal RNA". It matches the Rfam family "Bacterial large subunit ribosomal RNA". The record is from RNAcentral. Lineage: Bacteria; Candidatus Bipolaricaulota.
GCAAGUAUGGUAAGGGCGGACGGUGGAUCCCUAGGCAGCCGGAGGCGAUGAAGGGCGUGGCCAGCUGCGAUAAGCCCCGGGGAGCCGCUGAGCAGGCGAUGAUCCGGGGAUUCCCGAAUGGGGAAACCCACCGUGCCGUUGAGGCACGGUAUCCAGGGCCGAAAUCCGAGUAAGCCCUGGAGGCGAACCCCGCGAAGUGAAACAUCUCAGUAGCGGGAGGAAAAGAAAUCAACCGAGAUUCCCCUAGUAGCGGCGAGCGAACGGGGAAGAGCCCAAACCUCACGGGCGCAAAAGCCCGCAGGCAUUGUCCGUGGGGGGUAGCGGGACGGCAACGGGGAGGGCUGCGGACCUCCCAGGAAGUUACAAAAGCCUCCUCUAGCCGAACAGCCGGCAAAGUCACUGGAAAGGGCGACCGGAGAGGGUGAUAGUCCCGUAGGCGAAAGGGGAGGCUCUUCCGGGUUGCCGCUCCCAAGUAGCGUCGGACACGGGGAAUCCGGCGCGAAUCUGGGGGGACCACCCUCCAAGGCUAAAUACUCCCGGCUGACCGAUAGUGGACCAGUACCGUGAGGGAAAGGUGAAAAGAACCCCGGGAGGGGAGUGAAAUAGAACGUGAAACCGUCCGCUCACAGUGCAGUGGUAGCCGGGAACUGCCCCCGCAAGGGGGUGGAACCCGGUGGCCGCGUGCCUUUUGCAGUAUGAGCCGGCGAGUCGUGCUCGGUGGCGAGGCUAAGCGGUUCUUCCGCGGAGCCGUAGGGAAACCGAGUCCGAAUAGGGCGACUAGUCACCGGGCGCGGACCCGAAGCCAGGCGAUCUACCCAUGGGCAGGGUGAAGUGCGCGUAACAGCGCACGGAGGCCCGAACCGGUUGGUCGUGCAAAGCCAUCGGAUGACCUGUGGGUAGGGGUGAAAGGCCAAUCGCGCCUGGGAAUAUCUGGCUCUCCCCGAAAUGGCUUUCGGGUCAGCCUCACGUGCAGGCGGCCGGGGGUAGAGCACUGGCUGGGGAAGGGGGGCAACUCCCGACCCCAAUCAAACUCCGAAUACCGGCCGUCGGUCCGUGGGAGUGAGUCCAUGGGGGAUAACCUCCGUGGACAAGAGGGAAACAACCCAGACCACCAGCUAAGGCCCCAAAAUCCGGGCUAAGUGGGGAAGGCGGUGCAGCCGCCCAGACAGCGGGGAGGUUGGCUUAGAAGCAGCCAUCCUUUAAAGAGUGCGUAACAGCUCACCCGUCAAGCGGCUGCGCGCCGAAAAUGUACCGGGGCUAAGCCCGGUGCCGAAGCUGUGGGCGGGACCACAAGGUCCCGCGGUAGGGGAGCAUUCCGCAGUAGGGUGAAGCCGGGUCGUGAGGCCCGGUGGACGAGGCGGAAGAGAGAAUGCCGGCAUGAGUAGCGAGAGGCGGGUGAGAAUCCCGCCCACCGAAUGCCCAAGGUUUCCUGGGGAAGGCUGAUCCGCCCAGGGUUAGGCGGGACCUAAGCCGAAGCCGAAAGGCGUAGGUGAUGGGCAGCCGGUCAACAUUCCGGCCCCUCCGGGCCCGCGUUAUGAGCGAAGGGGGGACGCCGUUGGACCCUCCCCGCGGGCUUACGGCUAUGCCCGUCUAAGCGUCAAGCCAGAGGGGAUAGGUAAAUCCGUCUCCUCGAAACCGCUCUGUCCCGUCCGCUGAGGACGGGGCGGGGCGAAAAGGCGAGGCGCGAUGGCGAGCCCCGUAAGGGGUGAAGGGGGAACGGUUCAGCGGCCGAGAAAAGCCUCUAGCCAGCUGGCCCGGAGCCCGUACCGCAAACCGACACUGGUGGGCAGGGGGAGUACCCCAAGGUGGGCGAGCUAACCCCGGUCAAGGAACUCGGCAAAAUGGCCCCGUAACUUCGGGAGAAGGGGUGCCCUUGGGGUUGUCGGGGAUGACUCGAUGGCCCUGGGGGCCGCAGAGAAUCGGCUGGGGCGACUGUUUACCAAAAACACAGGUCCCUGCUAACCCGUAAGGGGAUGUAUAGGGGCUGAAACCUGGCCACUGCCGGUAGGUUAAGGGGAGGGGUGCAAGCCCCGAACUGAAGCCCCGGUGAAGGCCGGCCGUAACUAUAACGGUAGGAGCAGGGACGCAGGUCCCUGCGAGGGCCGUUGUAAAAUCCGGCUAUAUGCUGGGACAGCCCGGGUAUCCCAGCCUACCGAGGAGGUGACAAAGGCUUGGGUGGGGCCAAUCAGCAGGAAAGGCUCUCCAAAGCCGAGGCCGCUCGGUGGUUCUUGGCCGGAUUCAUCGAGGGCGAGGGAAGCUUCACCGUAUCCAUCAAGGAACAUCCCACGGCAAAGUUCGGCGUCUACGUGGAUCCCGAAUUCUACAUCUACCAGCACAAAAGCGGGCGGAAGCUCCUGGAGAUGGCGCGGGAAAUUUUCGGCACGGGGAGGAUUUACCCCAAGCCGGGAAAUCCCGAGGUUUUGGUUUUCGCCAUCACCAGUCGCCGAAGCCUGCGGGAAAAGGUGCUGCCCUUCAUCGAAAAAUACAUGGUGUAUUCCGCAAAGAAAGAACACCUCGCGAUCUUCAAGGAGAUCGUUCUCGCCCUCGAGGCUAAGGAGCACCAUUCCCCUGAGGGCCUGGCGCGCAUCGUCGAGAAGGCGUAUGCGCUGAAUCCGGCCGGGAAGGGGAAGGAGAGGAAACGUCCUCUCCCCGAGGUUUUGGAGAGAAUCCUCAGAGGCCAUACGCCGGACUCCGGGGAAGACCCGGAGAAGAGAUGGUCCAGGCCUCGUGGCGACACGAGGGAACCUGCCUAAGGUAGCGCAAUUCCUUGUCGGGUAAGUUCCGACGCGCAUGAAAGGAACAACGACUCCAGCGCUGUCUUGACCGGGGGCUCGGUGAACUCGAAGCACGGGUGAAGAUGCCCGUGACCCGCGGUGGGACAGAAAGACCCCGUGGAGCUUUACUGCAGCUUGGCGUUGGGUCCUGACAUCCACUGUAGAGGAUAGGUGGGAGGCUGAGAAGCCCGGGCGCCAGCCUGGGUGGAGCCGCCGGUGGAAUACCACCCUGUGGCUGUUGGGGCCCUAACCAGGGGCCGUGACGAGCGGUUCCGGGACAGCGCUAGGCGGGCAGUUUUGCUGGGGCGGCAGCCUCCUAAAGGGUAACGGAGGCGCCCAAAGGUCCCCUCAGGCGGGUUAGCGAUCCGCCGUUGAGUGCAAGGGCAGAAGGGGGCCUGACUGCGAGGGGGACACCCCGAGCAGAGGCGAAAGCCGGGCCUAGUGACCCACCGGUUCCUUGUGGGAGGGCCGGUGAUCAACGGAUAAAAGCUACCCCGGGGAUAACAGGCUAGUCUCCCCCGAGAGUUCACAUCGACGGGGAGGAUCGGCACCUCGAUGUCGGCUCACCCCAUCCUGGGGCUGCAUCAGGUCCCAAGGGUCGGUCUGUUCGCCCGUUAAAGGGGUUCAUGAGCUGGGUUCAAACCGUCGUGAGACAGGUUGGUCCCUAUCUACCGCGGGCGCAGGAGGCUUGAGGGGGUCCGUCCCUAGUACGAGAGGACCGGGACGGCCGAGCCGCUGGCGUACCAGCUGUUCCGCCCGGAGCACCGCUGGGUAGCUAAAGCUCGGACCGGAUAAGAGCUGAAGGCAUCUAAGCUCGAAGCCGACCCCAAGAUGAGGCCUCCCCAUCAGGGCCCGGGGAGACCACCCGGUGGAUAGGCCGCAGGUGGAAGCCCGGCAACGGGUGGAGCCGAGCGGUACUAAUCGCCCGAAUGGCUUGC